GAUUUAAAAGUAAUGCAGAAGUGCCUAUUUUUUUUUUUUUUUUUGAAAGCCUUGACCCCAAGGGAUGUCAGAUCCGUCACAAAUAUGGAAAGCCCACUGUUCACAUAGACAGAGUCUCCCCUGUAUGUGCACGGCGUCGCACAAGUACAAGAUACAACCACAGUAUAUAAACAACCAUAUGCAUUCAUCACAUCACAUAAAUCAAUCCACAUUCAUUAAAUCACAAGAUUGCAAUAUUUUCUUCAUAAAUCCACAAGAUACAACAACAGUAUAUAAACAACCAUAUACAUUCAUCACAUCACAUAAAUCAAUCCACAUUCAUUAAAUCACAAGAUUGAAAUAUUUUCUUCAUAAAUCCACAUCUAUUAGUUUAAAACGUUUCCCACUCGAAAACUUUUUUUGGAAACACUAAGAAUCAUGAAAAUCAGGAAAGCUCUUUUAAAACUAUUUCCCACGCGAAAAUCUAUUCUUUUAAAACACGCGACCACGAGGGGUAGAAAACUGUUUUCAUCCCAUUAGAAAUCCGUAAGUACUUUAUUACAUUCACAAAACCACAUGUAUCUGAAUAAAGUAAACCACUGAACCAUAAUAUCUAAGUUAAU
This 602-nucleotide long non-coding RNA is filed under the name Ananas comosus (pineapple). RNAcentral describes it as "long non-coding RNA (ACOM_LNC011882)". Lineage: Eukaryota; Viridiplantae; Streptophyta; Magnoliopsida; Poales; Bromeliaceae. The record is from RNAcentral.